This 254-nucleotide ribosomal RNA is filed under the name uncultured bacterium. Its description in RNAcentral is "partial 16S ribosomal RNA". It matches the Rfam family "Bacterial small subunit ribosomal RNA", at positions 524 to 776 of the family's 1533-position model. The record is from RNAcentral.
UACGGGGGGAGCAAGCGUUGUUCGGAUUUACUGGGCGUAAAGGGCGCGUAGGCGGCCAGCACAAGUCAGUUGUGAAAUCUCCGAGCUUAACUCGGAAAGGUCAACUGAUACUGUGCGGCUAGAGUGCAGAAGGGGCAACUGGAAUUCUUGGUGUAGCGGUGAAAUGCGUAGAUAUCAAGAGGAACACCUGCGGCGAAGGCGGGUUGCUGGGCUGACACUGACGCUGAGGCGCGAAAGCUAGGGGAGCGAACGGG